Molecule: ribosomal RNA, 369 nt
Filed under: uncultured bacterium
Lineage: Bacteria
Description: bacterial SSU rRNA
Rfam family: Bacterial small subunit ribosomal RNA
Source: RNAcentral
GACGAACGCUGGCGGCGUGCUUAACACAUGCAAGUCAAGGGGGAGUCGCAAGACUCAACCGGCGAACGGGUGCGUAACACGUGAGCGACCUACCUAAUUGUGGGGGAUAGCCGGCCCAACGGCCGGGUAAUACCGCAUACGAUCGGAGAGGGGCAUCCCUUUCUGAGGAAAGCCUUCGGGCGCAAUUUGAGGGGCUCGCGGCCUAUCAGCUAGUUGGCGGGGUAACGGCCCACCAAGGCGACGACGGGUAGCUGGUCUGAGAGGAUGGCCAGCCACAUUGGGACUGAGAUACGGCCCAGACUCCUACGGGAGGCAGCAGUGGGGAAUAUUGCGCAAUGGCCGAAAGGCUGACGCAGCGACGCCGCGUGC